GAAGGUAUAGCUCAGUGGUAGAAUGUAUGCUUAGCAUGCACGAGGUCCUGGGUUCAACCCCCAGUACCUCCA
RNAcentral lists this transfer RNA (72 nucleotides) under Camelus bactrianus (Bactrian camel). It matches the Rfam family "tRNA". From Rfam's summary of the family: Transfer RNA (tRNA) molecules are approximately 80 nucleotides in length. Their secondary structure includes four short double-helical elements and three loops (D, anti-codon, and T loops). The record is from Rfam by way of RNAcentral. RNAcentral also lists the same sequence under 2 other names. Lineage: Eukaryota; Metazoa; Chordata; Mammalia; Artiodactyla; Camelidae.